GGUGAUUUGACAGCUGAAGCUGACAAAUACCGCCAAAUUCCUCUGGAGUAAUUUUUAUUUGUAUCUAUUGUUAAUUAAGUUAUAACGAAAUUUAAGCGAUUUAAACUAAAACUUGUGUAUCGAAAAUUUCUACUUUCUGUUUGAAUCACCAUUAUCAAUAAAUCGUUUGAAAUAUAAACUUAAGAGACUUGUUUGAAAUGGAUAUCAAUUUGGAUAUUCACCCAAAGCCAUUUACAGAACAUUUGGAGGUUCAAUAUUUCCCAGCUGAAAUUGAAAGCGAUGGAGAAGCUAAUGUGAACGAGUACUUUAAUAACUAUACCGUUAGCGAAAACGGUCAUCUGACUAAUUCCCUUCGUGGAUUUCCACUAGACGGAAUAGAAUUUCAAGUGCCAUCGAAUUUAAAAGGACUUGUCUUCCAAGAGUCCUUAAAUACUUCGGAUGAAAAUUGUGGUAAACUUUUCAGAGUAGCAGGCACAUUUGAUAAUUUUACGUAUUGGAAUUAUGAUAAAGUCCCUUCUGCGGCCGAUGGGUUGCGCCAGGCUUUUGAAGUUUUGGCUGUUGCUGACGAACUUAACAAGCCUUUAUCUGCCAAGGAUAUUCAGAAUGAAAUCGAUCAUAAAUUAAGUAUUAAAAAAGAAGAGUCUUGAUGGUUUACAUACAUUUUAUUUGGAAUUUAGAUAUGUAAGAAAAUAAAGUUUUGGAAUAGGAUCUUGUGGACCAAAAAACUUUAAAGAGGCAAAAUAAAACUCCCAAAAAGGCAUAAAAAGGCAUUUAUUGUGAGAAAGAAUGAAAUAUAAAAAUUAAUUGUAGUAAUUUUGAACAA
RNA transcript from Episyrphus balteatus (marmalade hoverfly), 823 nucleotides. RefSeq lists it as uncharacterized. The transcript is spliced from 2 exons. NCBI's taxonomy places the organism in Eukaryota, Metazoa, Arthropoda, Insecta, Diptera, Syrphidae. The record is from RefSeq and is a predicted model, not a curated record.